Molecule: ribosomal RNA, 501 nt
Filed under: uncultured bacterium
Lineage: Bacteria
Description: bacterial SSU rRNA
Rfam family: Bacterial small subunit ribosomal RNA
Source: RNAcentral
AGUGAACGCUGGCGGCAGGCCUAACACAUGCAAGUCGAGCGGCAGCGCGUCCGACCACCCUCGGGUGGUCGGAUGGCGGCGAGCGGCGGACGGGUGAGGAAUGCAUCGGAAUCUGCCUCGUUGUGGGGGAUAACGUAGGGAAACUUACGCUAAUACCGCAUACGACCUACGGGUGAAAGUGGGGGACCUUCGGGCCUCACGCGAUGAGAUGAGCCGAUGCCGGAUUAGCUAGUUGGCGGGGUAACGGCCCACCAAGGCGACGAUCGGUAGGGGGUGUGAGAGCAUGGCCCCCCCACACGGGUACUGAGACACGGACCCGACUCCUACGGGAGGCAGCAGUAAGGAAUAUUGGACAAUGGACGGAAGUCUGAUCCAGCCAUGCCGCGUGAAGGAAGAAGGCGCUCAGCGUUGUAAACUUCUUUUGGAUGGGAAUAAUAAUGUCGACGUGCUCGGCACUUGAAGGUACCAUCAGAAUAAGCACCGGCUAACUCCGUGCCAGCA